GGGUCGUUGGCAGAAUGGGUAUGCAGCCGCCUUUUAAGCGGCAUUAUCGGGGUUCGAUUCCCCGGCGGCCUA
RNAcentral lists this transfer RNA (72 nucleotides) under Oscillatoria sp. FACHB-1406. It matches the Rfam family "tRNA". From Rfam's summary of the family: Transfer RNA (tRNA) molecules are approximately 80 nucleotides in length. Their secondary structure includes four short double-helical elements and three loops (D, anti-codon, and T loops). Lineage: Bacteria; Bacillati; Cyanobacteriota; Cyanophyceae; Oscillatoriales; Oscillatoriaceae. The record is from Rfam by way of RNAcentral.